GGGGGCAAGCGUUGUUCGGAAUUACUGGGCGUAAAGGGCUCGUAGGCGGCCAACUAAGUCAGACGUGAAAUCCCUCGGCUUAACCGGGGAACUGCGUCUGAUACUGGAUGGCUUGAGUGCGGGAGAGGAAUGCGGAAUUCCAGGUGUAGCGGUGAAAUGCGUAGAUAUCUGGAGGAACACCGGUGGCGAAGGCGGCAUCCUGGACCGACACUGACGCUGAGGCACGAAAGCGUGGGGAGCAAACAGG
This 247-nucleotide ribosomal RNA is filed under the name uncultured bacterium. RNAcentral describes it as "partial 16S ribosomal RNA". It matches the Rfam family "Bacterial small subunit ribosomal RNA", at positions 530 to 776 of the family's 1533-position model. The record is from RNAcentral.